RNAcentral lists this long non-coding RNA (709 nucleotides) under Phasianus colchicus (ring-necked pheasant). RNAcentral describes it as "lncRNA (ENSPCLG00000013427.1)". The record is from RNAcentral. Lineage: Eukaryota; Metazoa; Chordata; Aves; Galliformes; Phasianidae.
UUGGGGGUCUGUGGGGGCUCUGAGGGGAUUUGGGGGGGUUCAGGGGGGGAUCUGUGGGGGUUUUGGGGGGUUCUAAGGGGGUUCUGUCCCCAUUGUCCCCAUUGUCCCUAUUGUCCCUAUUGUUCCCAUGUCCCCAAAUCCCAUUGUCGCCAUGUCUGUGUGUCCCCAUAUCUGUGUGUCCCCAUUUGUCCCCAUUGUCCCCACUGUCCCUAUUGUCCCCAUAUCCCAUUGUCCCCUCUGUCCCCAUUUGUCCUCAAUGGCCCCAUUUCUGUCUGUCCCCAUUUGUCCCCAUUUGUCCCCACUGACCCCAUUUGUCCCCACUGCCCCUAUUGUCCCCAUUUCCCUAUUUGUCCCCAUUGUCCCCAUAUCUGUGUGUCCCCAUUUGUCCCCAUUGUCCCCACUGUCCCUAUUGUCCCUAUUGUCCCCAUUUCCCUAUUUGUCCCCAUUGUCCCCAUAUCUGUGUGUCCCCAUUUGUCCCCAUUUGUCCCCACUGUCCCUAUUGUCCCUAUUGUCCCCAUUUCCUUAUUUGUCCCCAUUGUCCCCAUAUCCGUGUGUCCCCAUUGUCCCCUUUGUCCCGCUGUCACCACCCCAUUCCGGUCCCAUCCGCCCCGCAGGGUGGUGACAGUGACAUUGUGUAGGGUGACAUUGUCACCUCAACGGGGGAGGGGGGGGAGGGGACAGCAGGAAGUGACACACGGGGAAGGGGGGG